GAUGAACGCUAGCUACAGGCUUAACACAUGCAAGUCGAGGGACCGGCGUACGGGUGAGUAACGCGUAUCCAACCUUCCCAUUACUGUGGGAUAACCUGCCGUACGGCAGACUAAUACAGCAUAGUAAUGGAUAGGGAUGCGUGUGAUUAGCUUGUUGGCGGGGUAAAGGACCACCAAGGGGACGAAAAGUAGGGGUUCUGAGAGGAAGGUCGCAAGCAUGGGAACUCAGACACGGCUCAGACUCCUACUGGAGGUAGGAAUGAGGAAUAUGGUGCAAAGGCCGGAGAUCGUAAACAGCCAAGUAGCGUGCAGGAUGACGGCCUGUAGGUUGUAAUCUGCUGUUGUAUGUGGCUAGGCACCAUAUAAAUAUGGCCCGGCUAAUCCGGUGCCAGCAGCCGCGGUAAUAC
Molecule: ribosomal RNA, 407 nt
Filed under: uncultured bacterium
Lineage: Bacteria
Description: partial 16S ribosomal RNA
Rfam family: Bacterial small subunit ribosomal RNA
Source: RNAcentral